Pezoporus occidentalis (night parrot) is the source of this 3695-nucleotide long non-coding RNA. RefSeq lists it as uncharacterized. Lineage: Eukaryota; Metazoa; Chordata; Aves; Psittaciformes; Psittacidae. The record is from RefSeq and is a predicted model, not a curated record. The transcript has 3 exons.
AGGCUGGAUUAUCAUGUGGAAAGGGAAUCUGUUAAAUGUAUCUCCUGGAGGUAUGGGAGGCUCUGUGACACAUCUCCUGGAGCAGGGUUAAUCUUUGGCCAAAGAACUCCUUUGGAGAUCAGAGAAACAUGACAGGGAGAUGCCCAGCUGCGCUGCCAGUCUUCACGGUACUUCGCUACGUCUCCCUGCAGGUCUAUGUGCAGCUGAAGCCGGGUACUCGUCCAUCGAUCUGCCCGAGUCACCAGGCGUCAUUUAACAGAAGAGUUUUAAGACAAAACCAAAGAGAGCAUCACCCAGGGAGUCACAUCUUUUCACCCGUCUCCUGCCCUCCACACCGUUUGACCACUCCUCCUCACCCCAUCGGCUGCGUGCUGUGUGUGGUGCCUGGUGUCCCACAGAUACGGGGCUGUUGUGCAGACCAUUGGUUAUAACAACAUCACAAAGAGAGUCCCUAGCAGUGGGGUCCUAGGUGGAAAUGAAACCUCCUUGAAAUAAGUAAAUCCCAGGGGUUUGUCUCCUAUUAAGCUAGCAGAUAGUUUGUUCAUUUUGCUACGGUUUGCAGCAUCCAACCAGAUACGGGUGGAAACUUCUUGUCUUCCUUCCUCUUUUAUAUUUCCAGUCUGGGAAACAGCAAAAAAAUGUUAGUGAAAAGAGUAACAUCUGUGUGUGAGAGAGAGAGAAAAUGAUGAAGCAGGCUGGCCAGGCAGCCAGCCUCAGGAGAUGGUAACACAGAAGAGCUAUUCAUUCUGAAAGCCAGUUGCUCCUCGCCCUUCUAGAUUAUAAAUUGGACACCUUAUUAAGAGCUGAUCCUCCAGCAGCCCCACCCUGGGCUGUGCUCAUGCUCUAAACCAGUGGAACGUAAUCCCAUUUCACUAUUGAUGCCUGUUACUGGAUAAGCACAUAUGCAAGCAGGACAGAGCAUACUAAGCAGAAAGAAGCAGCACCCUGGCUGUUUUAUGAAUUGUCAGUUUAAGAAAAGGAGAUGGGGUUUUGGGAAGGAAUGGGGAGGAGGUUGGUUUGCACCAAAAUUUGAACACUUUCAGGAUGAUGCUAGCUGCCUUGCCAAAUAAUUAAACUUUUCUUUUUUUUUUUUUUCUUGUUUUCUCAGUUGUAACUUAAAAAUGCUGACUCACUGGCAUGGUGUGCCAACCCAAAUGUUGCUGCUGGAAUCAACCACUGGAAGAACAUAAUGAGAUAUGACCCCACAACAGUAUAGGCUUGGAGUAGGCCUCCUCAGUGAUUCCAAGCUCCUCUUCUAGUGGUUUGCUUGGUCACUUGUUUCUUGUCAGAUUAGCUCAGAGGUCUGUACAAAUUUAAGCAUGUGUCAAGUUGAACAGUUCUUGAGGUGAAAACUUCAUGGAAACAUAAGUUUAACAAAUUCAACAAGGUUUUACAUCCUUGGCAAGACUUCCAGACUUUUCAACCUUCAUACACCUUUUAACCCUUUGAAAAGCUGCCCAACUGGCAUUUGAAAUGCACAGUUGCCAAGUUAUUGACAGCUGUUGUCAGGAAUAAAUAUGUGACAUGUAUUCUUCAGGGCUUGUUUUUGUGCUGAGGAAAACAGGAUGGAAUGUUAUAAACCUGUUUUAGUGUCUCUGAAUUGUAUCCUUGCUCAUACAUGCAUGUUCUUCCUUCCAGGCAAAACCAGCUGAGGGGUUCAUUCAAUGCUACAUGCGUCGUGAGGAUUCUGCAUCGUCAGAGCAUUUAGUCUGAACACUGUAUAGAUACACAUCUGGUUGGCUCCCCUAUUGAGAACAGAAUUCCAGCAGAGAUUUUUUUCCUGGUGAAUGGAGAAGAGCAGGACCAGCAGAGCUCCCCAUGCAGAGGGUGUUAUUCCAGGAGAGUGCUCCCUCACCCGCAGAGAGAAGCAAUCCAAUACGCUUUCCAUCCGGGGGCAGGAGGGGAAAGGAGGGAGGAGAGGGGGGUGAGGAUGCUUCCUUCCCAGCGCACGGGGCUGCCAGCCAAGAAUGUAAGUCUAAAUUCAAGUCCAGGGAGUGCUGUGCCAGAUUCAGCGAGUUUGGAGUCCUUUUGUCCAGAAGCUUGCAAUACUUGAGGGAACUGCCAAAUGGGAUGUGUGGCAUCCAUGUAAUAUAUCUGAUGCAUGAAAACUGGUUCCUACUGAGCUUACCGUGGUGCCUGAGGCAAAAGUACUUCUGAUUCCCCACAUGAUGCAGCCGUCACCAGACCACUGCUGUUCUCCUUAAACCCAGCCACAAUGGUAGUUCAGGACAACCUCCUGCCUCGGGUCAGGCUGAGGCAGAUGGCACUCACUGGGAGAGGAAAGGUGGUGCUGCCUUUGACCCUGCUCUCCCUCUCUGGGAAGGGAGGACACAAUGCCGUUUGCAUUUCUCCCUAAGCUGAACCAUUAAGUUUGAUGACAGAAAUGAACCUUUCCCCCUGGACACAGGCCAAAAGACUGUUUUCUUUCCCUUCCCCUCCUGUCUCUUUCAUAACCGUCAUUUUCACAUAUCUCUGGAACGUAUCACGUACUACUGUCAUGUGUUGUAGGUGUGCUCCCCUUUUUUCCACAGCUAUGUCCUGCCUCCCCUCUGCCAGGUGGGAUCCACUCCUUGUCUGGCUGCUGCUAGUUUGCCACAGGUGACAGGGUGGACCAAAGCCACUUCUUCUGCCCUAGGGGAGAGCCUCUGGAUCUAGGAGAGAGGGAGAUCUGCUCUGGAAACACCAUCUAGCAGCCUCUGUGUGAACAUGGCCAUAGCAAUACCUGUGGGAUGAGAGUGCUUGUGUUCCUGUGCCUCAUCAAGAGGGUUCAGCCAGCUGUGCUUGUGCAAACCCCUGGAGGGCUCUGAGGCUGAGCAGGUGUCAGCAAGGACACAGCCUGGGUCGAAGAACUCCUAUGACAGCUUGUGCCAGACAGAGAGGAAGAUUGUCUUGGUAGGAAUUGGUUUUGUGUUUAACAGGGAUGCCAGAGGAGGACAGUAAGGAGGGGAAAUCCCAUGAUGAUGCUUCCCAGGCCAGUAGUACCAAAGGUGAUUUCCCAUUUAUGUACUAAUGGGGUUCGCAUCAAAUGCCAAGGGGUUGCUGAGGGCUGCUGUGGAGCAGUCUUGAUACAGGACAUGCCAUUGCAGAGCCCUAGCCAAGGGCAUCAGUUCAGCCAGUGCCCAUGCAGAGGUGAAGCAGAAGCAAUGUGGUUUGGUUUGGUGUGGUGUGUGUCUCUUAGGCUUAAAUUCCCACUAAUCUGUGUCUGAAAAGACCCACUGGGAUGUGUGACAAUAUGUUUAUAACCCAGGUCCAUGCCUGGAUCCAGGCCAUUGCCAGAGAGACUUAAGGAGAUGUGAUCCCUCAAUCCCUUGUCUUCCUGACGUCAGCCAUGAUCCUGGCACAUGUUCUUCCAGCUUUCUGGGGCUCUUGUCAAAGCUGUGUUGCUGCACUAAGAGCAGGAGCUCUGGACCAGAAAAUGAGAGCUAAAACUUUUUCCUGAGGCUAUCCCAGCCCGGGCAGCUGUGCUGUCUCCUGGGCCACAGCUCAGCUGUUCACAGGCAGCAGCCCUGCUUGCUCCCUGCAGUGUGUGCCAGGAGGUGGGUUUCAGUUGCAAAAUAGAGCAUGGUCUAUCCUGCCCUCCCUGGGUUGGGGUCCAGAAAGUGUGCCCUUUCCCCAGCAUCUCACCAGUGCAGGAGAUACUUCAUCACUCCUUCAUCUUCUCCUCCAUUCACAUAGGGGCUGCUUUUCCCCCAGGC